RNAcentral lists this ribosomal RNA (356 nucleotides) under uncultured bacterium. RNAcentral's name for it is "bacterial SSU rRNA". It matches the Rfam family "Bacterial small subunit ribosomal RNA", at positions 32 to 369 of the family's 1533-position model. The record is from RNAcentral.
AAUCAACGCUGGCGGCGUGCCUAACACAUGCAAGUCGAACGCGAAAGCCCCUUCGGGGGUAAGUAGAGUGGCGUCCGGGUGAGUAACACGUAGGUAAUCUACCUUCGGGUGGGGAAUAACCAGUCGAAAGAUUGGCUAAUACCGCAUAAUGCAGCGGCACCUAAUGGUGAUUAGUUGUUAAAGCGGGGGAUCGUAAGACCUCGCGCCUGAAGAGGAGCCUGCGGCAGAUUAGCNGUUGGUGAGGUAAUGGCUCACCAAGGCAUCGAUCCGUAGCCGGCCUGAGAGGGCGGUCGGCCACACUGACACUGACAUACGGGUCAGACUCCUACGGGAGGCAGCAGUCGGGAAUUUUGGGC